CCCUUGAUAGCUCAGUUGGCAGAGCGAUGGACUGUAAUAGUAUUUCACGCCAUCCACAGGUCGCCGGUUCAAAUCCGGCUCGAGGGA
Molecule: non-coding RNA, 87 nt
Organism: Gnomoniopsis smithogilvyi
Lineage: Eukaryota; Fungi; Ascomycota; Sordariomycetes; Diaporthales; Gnomoniaceae
Source: the annotation of a GenBank genome assembly